CCGGAGAGGGAGCCUUAAAAACGGCUACCACAUCUAAGGAAGGCAGCAGGCGCGCAAAUUACCCAAUCCUGAUACAGGGAGGUAGUGACAAGAAAUAACACAGAGAGUGCUUAUCGCAUUUCUCUUUGGAAUGAGCAGAAUUUAAAUCUCUUUUCGACUAUCAAUUGGAGGGCAAGUCUGGUGCCAGCAGCCGCGGUAAUUCCAGCUCCAAUAGCGUAUAUUAAAGUUGUUGCGGUUAAAAAGCUCGUAGUUGGAUUUCUGUCGAGGACGGUCGGUCCACACUUUGUGUGAGUAUCUGAUUCGGCCUUGGCAUCCUCCUGGGGAACGUUUCUGCGCUUGAUUGCGUGGAGCGGAAUUCAGGACUUUUACUUUGAGGAAAUUAGAGUGUUCACGGCAGGCAAACGCCUUGAAUAUAUUAGCAUGGAAUAAUAAUAUAGGACCUUUGUUCUAUUUUGUUGGUUUCUAGAGCGAAGGUAAUGAUUAAUAGGGAUAAUUGGGGGCAUUUGUAUUAACGCGUCAGAGGUGGAAUUCUUGGAUUGCGUUACGACAAACUACUGCGAAAGCAUUUGCCAAGGAUGUUUUCAUUGAUCAAGAACGAAAGUUAGGGGAUCGAAGACGCUUAGAUACCGUCGUAGUCUUAACCAUAAACUAUGCCGACUAGAGAUUGGAGGUCGUUCUUUUUAUGACCCCUUCAGCACCUUAUGAGAAAUCAAAGUCUUUGGGUUCCGGGGGGAGUAUGGUCGCAAGGCUGAAACUUAAAGGAAUUGACGGAAGGGCACCACCAGGAGUGGAGCCUGCGGCUUAAUUUGACUCAACACGG
Molecule: ribosomal RNA, 820 nt
Filed under: uncultured eukaryote
Lineage: Eukaryota
Description: SSU rRNA
Rfam family: Eukaryotic small subunit ribosomal RNA
Source: RNAcentral